RNAcentral lists this ribosomal RNA (253 nucleotides) under uncultured bacterium. Its description in RNAcentral is "partial 16S ribosomal RNA". It matches the Rfam family "Bacterial small subunit ribosomal RNA", at positions 524 to 776 of the family's 1533-position model. The record is from RNAcentral.
UACGUAGGGUGCGAGCGUUGUCCGGCCUUACUGGGCGUAAAGAGCUCGUGGGUGGUUUGUCGCGUUGUUCGUGAAAACCGGAGGCUUAACCUUCGGCGUGCGGGCGAUACGGGCAGGCUGGAGUACUGCAGGGGAGACUGGAAUUCCUGGUGUAGCGGUGGAAUGCGCAGAUAUCAGUAGGAACACCGGUGGCGAAGGCGGGUCUCUGUGCAGUAACUGACGCUGAGUUGCGACAGCGUGGGGACCGAACAGG